CAGGCAAAUGGAGGAUGCCUUGGGAUGUCGAGGCGAUGAAGGACGUGGCGUAACUGCGAUAAGCUUCGGGUAGGUGUUCAGCAACCUUUGAUCCGGAGAUUUCCGAAUGGGGAAACCUAAUAUUGUGAUAAGCAAUAUUGUUCUGCGAAAGCAGAAAGCGCACCCGCUGAAGUGAAACAUCUCAGUAAGCGGAGGAAAAGAAAAAAAUGUUAUUACUUUUUGUAAUAACGAAUUCCCUAAGUAGCGGCGAGCGAAACGGGAAGAGCCCAAACCGUAAAAAACUCUUGUAGUUUUGUGCGGGGUUGUAAGUAAGAUGUGUCUUAGGGUUCGCCCUAAGCAGAGUCAAUAAAGGUAUUAUGAUUAGCCGAAAAUUCCUGGAAAGGACUGCCAAAGAGAGUAAAAGCCUCGUAGGCGAAAAUCAUAACACGCUCUGAGUAUCUUAACUUGAGUACCAUAGAGAACGAAAACUCUAUGGGAAUCAGGCAGGACUAAACUGCCAAGGCUAAAUACUCGACAUCACCGAUAGUGAACCAGUACCGUGAGGGAAAGGUGAAAAGUAGCCCUGUGAGGGCGGUGAAAUAGAACCUGAAACCAUUUGCCUACAAGGAGUCGGAGGGGGAUGUAAAUCUCCUGACGGCGUGCCUUUUGCAGAAUGAGCCAACGAGUGGCUGUCAAGCCUUAGUCUAAGUUCUUUACAGAACGGAGGCAUAGCGAAAGCGAGUCUUAAUAGGGCGUUGUUCUCUUUUGAGAACGGAGGCUUGGCAGACGACCCGAAGCCAGGCGAGCUUGCCAUGACCAGGUUGAAUCUCGACGAAAGUCGAGAGGAGGACCGAACCCGUGGAUUGUGCAACAUCUUGGGAUGAGUUGUGGUAAGAAGUGAAAAGCUAAUCGAGCCUGGUAAUAGCUGGUUCUCCCCGAAAUAGCUUUAGGGCUAGCGUCUUCGUAUGUUCUGGGGGUAGAGCACUGAAUGGAACUUCGUGGGGAAACCUAGAUUUUCCAAUCAAACUCCGAAUACCGGAACUAAACUUGCGAAGGCAGUCAGACUGUGGGGGCUAAGCUCCAUAGUCAAAAGGGAAACAGCCCAGAUCUUCAUCUAAGGUCCCUAAAUUCGAACUAAGUGCAAGCAAGGAUGUGAAAUUGCUUUGAUAGUUAGGAGGUUAGCUUAGAAGCAGCUAUCCUUUAAAAAGUGCGUAAUAGCUUACUAACUGAGGAGUUUUGCGCCGAAGAUUUACGGGGCUCAAGUUCGGUACCGAAGAUAAGGAUGGCAUCUUUUUAAGAUGUCGUGGUAGGGGAGCAUCCUACUUCCGUUGAAGGUGAGUCGUAAGGCUUGCUGGAGGAUGAGGGAGAGAGAAUGUUGGCAUGAGUAACCACAAUUCCGGUGAAAAACCGGAACACCGUAAACCCAAGGUUUCCUUGGCAAUGGUAAUCAGCCAAGGGUUAGGCGGGCCUAAGGCGUAGCCGAAAGGCGAACCCGAUGGACAGCCGGUUAAUAUUCCGGCCCUUCCUUAAUAAUUUCCUAAGAGGGACGGAGAUUAGUAGCUUAAGUGGAUUAUUGGAUUUCCAUUCAUAUCUUAAGGAGCAAUCCAAGAGAAGUGUGAAGUCGAGAUUUCGGUCUCGGCAACUUAAGUGAGCAAUCUUCCCAGAAAAGCUCUUCAGGAGUUAAUUAUUAGGGGAACCGUACCGCAAACCGACACAGGUGGGUAGGCGUAAGUGUGCCAAGGUGAACGAGUGAAACUUCGUUAAGGAACUCGGCAAUCAAGUGGUCGUAACUUCGGGAUAAGACCUCCCUACAGAAAUGUAGGGCACAGCGAAAGUUCCCCUGGCGACUGUUUAUCAAAAACACAGGUCCCUGCUAAACUCGUAAGAGGAUGUAUAGGGGCUGAGGCCUGACCAGUGCUGGAACGUCAACCUUGCCGGUAUGAUUGUAUUUUUAAUGCGAUCAUGCUGAGUGAGCGAAGCGCCAGUAAACGUCCGCGGUAACUAUAACCGUGUUAAAGUAGCGUAAUCCCUUGUCGGGUAAAUUCCGACCCGCACGAAAGGCUUAACGACUAGGGGGCUGUCUCAACGAAGUGCUCGGUGAAAAUGCAAUACCGGUAAAGAUGCCGGUUACCUGCGGCUAGACGGAAAGACCCCGGGAGCUUUACUAUAGCUAGAUAUUGAUUUUUGGUUUUAAAUGCGAAGUGUAGGUGGGAGACUUUGAAGUUUUGUUUUCGGACGAAAUGGAGUCGCCAAUGAGACACCACCCUUUUUGAAUCUUGAAUCUAACUUGGCCGUACCGCAUUGUACUUAAUGUUUUUAAGUAUAUUGCGGUGCGGCGAGAACAGUGUCUGGUGGGUAGUUUAAGUGGGGCGCUUGCCUCCUAAAGAGUAACGGAGGCGUUUAUAAGGUCAGCUAGCUCCGGAUGGAAAUCGGAGUGAUAGUGUAAAGGCAAAAGCUGGCUUUACUGCGAGACGGAUAUGUCGAGCAGUUGGGAAACCAGAACUUAGUGAACCGACCGCACGUCUAAUAAAAUUCUAUUUAUUUAGUGUUUUGUUAGACAUGGUAUUAGAAGUGCGGGAGAUCAUCAGCUAAAAGCUACCCCGGGGAUAACAGGUUAGUAGGGCCCGCGAGUUCACAUCAACGGCCCUGUUCGACACCUCGAUGUCGGCUCAUCACAUCCUGGGGCUGAAGCAGGUCCCAAGGGUAUGGCUGUUCGCCAUUUAAAGUGGUACGUGAGCUGGGUUCAGACCGUCGUGAGACAGGUUGGUCCCUAUCUACCGUAGGCGCAGAUUCUUGAGGAAAGUUACUCUUAGUACGAGAGGACCGGAGUGAACCAACCUCUGGUGUACCAGUUGUUCCGCCCGGAGCAUUGCUGGGUAGCUAAGUUGGGAAGGGAUAAGCACUGAAAGCAUCUAAGUGCGAAGCCCAAUCCAAGAUUAGGAAUCAUAGACCCCUUAAAGAUUAUGAGGUCGAUAGGCUGCAGGUCUAAGGACAGUAAUGUCUUCAGCCGAGCAGUACUAAUAGGUCAUUGCAGUUUUG
Molecule: ribosomal RNA, 3018 nt
Filed under: groundwater metagenome
Description: bacterial LSU rRNA
Rfam family: Bacterial large subunit ribosomal RNA
Source: RNAcentral